GUCGACGAUGACCUCACUUGUGGGGGGAUUAGUGGCGAACGGGUGAGUAACACGUGAGUAACCUGCCCUUAACUCUGGGAUAAGCCUGGGAAACUGGGUCUAAUACCGGAUAUGACUCCUCAUCGCAUGGUGGGGGGUGGAAAGCUUUUUGUGGUUUUGGAUGGACUCGCGGCCUAUCAGCUUGUUGGUGAGGUAAUGGCUUACCAAGGCGACGACGGGUAGCCGGCCUGAGAGGGUGACCGGCCACACUGGGACUGAGACACGGCCCAGACUCCUACGGGAGGCAGCAGUGGGGAAUAUUGCACAAUGGGCGCAAGCCUGAUGCAGCGACGCCGCGUGAGGGAUGACGGCCUUCGGGUUGUAAACCUCUUUCAGUAGGGAAGAAGCGAAAGUGACGGUACCUGCAGAAGAAGCGCCGGCUAACUACGUGCCAGCAGCCGCGGUAAUACGUAGGGCGCAAGCGUUAUCCGGAAUUAUUGGGCGUAAAGAGCUCGUAGGCGG
Molecule: ribosomal RNA, 501 nt
Filed under: Arthrobacter sp.
Lineage: Bacteria; Bacillati; Actinomycetota; Actinomycetes; Micrococcales; Micrococcaceae
Description: bacterial SSU rRNA
Rfam family: Bacterial small subunit ribosomal RNA
Source: RNAcentral